Molecule: long non-coding RNA, 614 nt
Filed under: Spirodela polyrhiza (greater duckweed)
Lineage: Eukaryota; Viridiplantae; Streptophyta; Magnoliopsida; Alismatales; Araceae
Description: long non-coding RNA (SPOL_LNC001740)
Source: RNAcentral
GCUCCGUCGUCUCCAACGCCGCGCUUUCCUCCGCAGACGGUGUUGCGGCGUCGCCACCGUACAAGGGCUUCGGUCCGCCGGAGUUCAUGUCCAUGCAGCCGUCGUCGGUGGUGAAGACGACGGGCUGCGGCGCUGCGACGACCUCCUCCAAAGCGAAGUAAGGAUCCCCGUCCGAGACUUGGCGGUGGUAGUAGUAGCAGCAGUCUGCCGCCUUCAGCUCCGGCGAAGUCCUCGGCAGCUCCUCGGAGUGGGCAUAGCUAUUCUCGGCGGCGCUGCGGUCCAAGGACCAGUCUCCGGCGAGGGACUGGGAGAAGGGGACCACCGGGAAUCGCUGGUGGCGGCGGGAGAGGGUGCUGGCGGAGUGGACGUCGGAGUCGCAGGCCGCGCAGAGCGCCGCCGCGUCGGCCUUGCAGACGACGGUGGCGGGCGCCUGCUCGCAGAUCUCGCAAACCCACACCCGCUCGUGGCGGGCGGCGCCGCCGUGGAGGUGGCCGUCGCAGGCCGCGCAGAGGAAGGCGGCGUGAACCCGGCAGAAGAGCUGCGCCGGCGAGCCCCUGCAGGCGUCGCAGUAGCUCUUCACUCUCAUUUCCUCGCCCAUUCCCCCUCCCCCCUCC